AGUCGAGGGGUAUAGGUUUUCGGACCUAGAGACCGGCGCACGGGUGCGUAACGCGUAUGCAAUCUACCUUUUACAGAGGGAUAGCCCAGAGAAAUUUGGAUUAAUACCUCAUAGUAUUACGACUCGGCAUCGAGAUGUAAUUAAAGUCACAACGGUAAAAGAUGAGCAUGCGUCCCAUUAGCUUGUUGGUAAGGUAACGGCUUACCAAGGCAACGAUGGGUAGGGGUCCUGAGAGGGAGAUCCCCCACACUGGUACUGAGACACGGACCAGACUCCUACGGGAGGCAGCAGUGAGGAAUAUUGGUCAAUGGGCGCAAGCCUGAACCAGCCAUGCCGCGUGCAGGAUGAAGCAUCUAUGGUGUGUAAACUGCUUUUGUACGAGAAGAAACACUCCUACGUGUAGGAGCUUGACGGUAUCGUAAGAAUAAGGACCGGCUAACUCCGUGCCAGCAGCCGCGGUAAUACGGAGGGUCCAAGCGUUAUCCGGAAUCAUUGGGUUUAAAGGGUCCGUAGGCGGUUUUGUAAGUCAGUGGUGAAAGCCCAUCGCUCAACGGUGGAACGGCCAUUGAUACUGCAAGACUUGAAUUAUUGGGAAGCAACUAGAAUAUGUAGUGUAGCGGUGAAAUGCUUAGAGAUUACAUGGGAUACCAAUUGCGAAGGCAGGUUGCUACCAAUAUAUUGACGCUGAUGGACGAAAGCGUGGGGAGCGA
Molecule: ribosomal RNA, 710 nt
Filed under: uncultured Bacteroidota bacterium
Lineage: Bacteria; Pseudomonadati; Bacteroidota
Description: bacterial SSU rRNA
Rfam family: Bacterial small subunit ribosomal RNA
Source: RNAcentral